UCUUAAGUUUUGUCAGUAAAUAAGGAGGCA
Molecule: non-coding RNA, 30 nt
Filed under: Mus musculus (house mouse)
Lineage: Eukaryota; Metazoa; Chordata; Mammalia; Rodentia; Muridae
Source: RNAcentral